Long non-coding RNA from Hippocampus zosterae (dwarf seahorse), 1631 nucleotides. RefSeq lists it as uncharacterized. NCBI's taxonomy places the organism in Eukaryota, Metazoa, Chordata, Actinopteri, Syngnathiformes, Syngnathidae. The transcript has 2 exons. The record is from RefSeq and is a predicted model, not a curated record.
UUUUUUCGGCUAAAAACGGCUUACUAUACAUGGUCAAUUUUUUCGGCUAAAAACGCCUUACUAUACAUGGUCGUUUUUUUUUCGGCUAAAAACGCCUUACUAUACAUGGUCGGUUUUUUUCAGCUAAAAACGCCUUACUAUACAUGGUCGUUUUUUUCCGGCUAAAAACGGCUUACUAUAGGUUUUUUUUUUCGGCUAAAAACUGCUUACUAUACAUGGUCAAUUUUUUCGGCUAAAAACGCCUUACUAUACAUGGUCGUUUUUUUUCCGGCUAAAAACGCCUUACUAUACAUGGUCGGUUUUUUUCAGCUAAAAACGCCUUACUAUACAUGGUCGUUUUUUUCCGGCUAAAAACGGCUUACUAUAGGUUGUUUUUUUCGGCUAAAAACGCCUUACUAUACAUGGUCAAUUUUUUCGGCUAAAAACGCCUUACUAUACAUGGUCGGUUUUUUUUCGGCUAAAAACGGCUUACUAUACAUGGUCAAUUUUUUUCGGCUAAAAACACCUUCCUAUACAUGGUCGUUUUUUUCGCCUAAAAACGCCUUAGUAUACAUGGUCGUUUUUUUUCGGCUAAAAACGCCUUACUAUACAUGGUCGUUUUUUUUCGGCUAAAAACGCCUUACUAUACAUGGUCGUUUUUUUUCGGCUAAAAACGCCUUACUAUACAUGGUCGUUUUUUUCAGCUAAAAACGCCUUACUAUACAUGGUCAAUUUUGCCCCGAGCCAGAAUUGAACCCUGCUCCUCUGCACUAGGAAGCCAGCGCACUAACCAGUCGACCACGAGGCAACCUACCAUAAUGUAAAACAGAAAUCCAUUCAGCAAGAAAUAAAGUAGCAACCUUUGAUUCCGCAGGCCACAUGAAAUGAUGAGUUUGACACUUUUAUUGUGGAGGAUUUCUUGUUUUACCAAAAGCAGGCAUAAAUGACACUUUGCAACCAUAGGGGGGCGCCAUGGUUCCCCAACCCCACAGUCCCAAGUAUUCGUUGUGGCGCUAAAAGGAUCCAUCGGAAAAAAAUAACGGUAACAUACCAACCUGGAAAUGUGGACAUCUUAAACUCUUCUUCAGUUUGCAUCCAUGCCAAGAAAACCGCCGUAGACUCAAGGUCGGCGGAAAAGGUUGUGGGGUUGUCCGCCCGCCUGGCCGCGAGAGCAUCGGAGACGACAUAUAUCUUGUCAAGCCAGCUCGGCCUACACGGCGGCCGGGCGUGGUUGGCUUGGAUAAAUGCUGGCAUUCAAGAUUCCCCCCCCCCCCCCCCUCAGUUUUUUAGUGUCGUCAGCGUUCUGUGUCAGUAAAGACAAAUGGAUGAAUGCGCUUUUUUUUGGUGGGGGGGGGGGAUCUUCUUAUCCUGCGGUCGAGCCUUGAGAACUUGAGAUAAAAUGCGCUCGGCGCGGGCUGAAUGCCAUCACUGAAGAAUUUUCUGCUUGUAUUCUUUCACGUGAAGACUUGUGGACUUUCUUGCAUGAUGUUUGGUUCCCUGCUGCUUUGUACAUUUUUUUAUACAUUGAAAAAAAAAAUCAUGUAAAUUGAAGUAUGUUUAUUUCUCAGUGGCUCAUUCAGUUGAAGUGAUGUGAUUAUUGAGUGGGUUGUUGGUGCCGAUUUUUUUGCAGAAUAAAGUCAAAACCUCAGAAA